This 252-nucleotide ribosomal RNA is filed under the name uncultured bacterium. Its description in RNAcentral is "partial small subunit ribosomal RNA". It matches the Rfam family "Bacterial small subunit ribosomal RNA", at positions 26 to 285 of the family's 1533-position model. The record is from RNAcentral.
AGGACGAACGCUGGCGGCGUGCUUAACACAUGCAAGUCGAGCGGAAAGGCCCUUCGGGGUACUCGAGCGGCGAACGGGUGAGUAACACGUGAGUAAUCUGCCCCUAGCUCUGGGAUAGCUCCGGGAAACCGGGAUUAAUACUGGAUACGACCACCUUAGACAUCUUUUGUGGUGGAAAGAAUUUCGGCUAGGGAUGAGCUCGCGGCCUAUCAGCUUGUUGGUGGGUAACGCCUACCAAGGCGACGACGGGUA